Long non-coding RNA from Gasterosteus aculeatus aculeatus (three-spined stickleback), 2487 nucleotides. Lineage: Eukaryota; Metazoa; Chordata; Actinopteri; Perciformes; Gasterosteidae. The record is from Ensembl.
CCGUAUGAAGGAAUAAUAACGUAAGAAGACAUUUAUCUCCAGAAGAUAAGAGAGAAUGUGUCGUUGUCAGUCCUCAGGAAUGUUUUUCACACACGUUUGAUAAAAGAUGUUUCUCUUUGAAUCCGACCUGUAAAUCCUCCGUCUCUCUCAGAAAAACAGAUGAGCUCUAUUGGGAUGAAUCACGUUUGAUGUCACGCUGCAGGUUCGAGGUCUUCUCCACAACGCGAAGCGUCUUCUCGCUGCCAUUAGCACUUCCGUCUGCACUGAUUACUCACGCCACACGCCACACGCCACACGCCUCUGUGACCUCAUCAGCGGCUCUCGGCUGUACUGGACACAACACUGGUCCUUUAUGUAUUUAUUCUCUUUCCUCAUCGUUCAGUUCACUUCGAUCAGCUGAUGCUCCUUUUCACCACACGUCCAUGUUAUUAAAUCAAGAGCUCAUUGAUUCACUGAUGACUGACUUUCAAACACACAGCAGGAAAUUAAAUCACACGAAUACUAAAUAAAUUCAGCCCUUUCUAUUUCUCUCUCUCUAACACACACACACACACACACACACAUAUAUAUAUAUAUAUAGAUGACACUACUGUGUGUGUCACGUGUACUCAUUUUAAUGAAAAGACGCUGGUCCCCACAAGGUCAACCAUUCAUUCGAGGGUUAAAUCUUCUCAUCUCUUGCUCACAACCGAGGAAAAACAAAUGCAGGCGCAUACGUUCUCCAACGUGAUUAACCACAGCUGCCUGGUUUCAAUGAGCCACGGAACAACGUUAUUUACCUCCGAUACGUUAAUGGGGUUCAUCCAUCGUCGUUCGAUAACAGUGAUGCAUCUUUAAUGGAUUCUCCUGUUGGUCAGAGUUAUUCGCGUUAUUGAAUUAAUCAUCGUCAUGAAGAGAAAGAGAUGAGGACAAAUGCUCAGAAUGAGAAGAGAUAAACGAGGUAUAAGAAAGGCGAGAGCAUCGGUGCGACCACCGCCGGCUCUUCUUCUCCGUCCUCAGUCGCCGCUGCUCUCCGGAUCCAAUUAAGUGGAAACCUCACGGGAGAAUAACGCCACAGAGUGAAAGUAGGCUGAAAAGCAAUGAGCGUGUGUAAUGAGGCGGCUGGUUAGUCUGUUGCUAAAGUGGGCGGAGCCUCAGCGCUGGAUGGCGUUCGGUUGGAAGUGAGAUGGGAAGGAGACGAGCGUUUGAGCAUGAAAGGUAAAGAAAAUAGAGGAAGUUCUAAAAAUGCUGAAAAGAUGGAGACGCCUGUGUGACGAUGUUAGAGGCCUCGUUGCUGAAAUCAUUCACAUAUUAUUCAUCUCCCAUGCACAUCGGGUAGAUAGAUAGAUAGAUAGAUAGAUAGAUAGAUAGAUAGAUAGAUACUUUAUUGAUCCCUCAAGAGGGAAAUUUUGGGUACAACGAGCUGGAGAUCUGAUCCAUUUCACGUCCACAGUCAACAAGGCAAAAGGCGCUUCGGAGCUCCUCAUUUUCUCAUUUUCUCAUAUCGUUGCUAGUAGCUUCUCAUUACUCAUCAGAAUAAUUCAUCUCAGAGCCACACGAGUGAUUUUGGUUUCAAUAUGUCAUAUUUUUUAACAAAUACUUUCCGUAUGGAGCCAGGGAAUGAAUUAAGGAGAAACCAAUGGUUUCUUAAUGCAGGAGAUAUUUUGAGAGAAAAUAGCUUCUAAUUCGAUGACACUUUGGAGAUAUUAAAAUGCAGCUCACGGAAGUAACUUACACUGUUUGGUUUCCUGAUGAAAGCGCUAAAAAUAAAGGUUUAAUAACAGUUUGUUGUGUCUGGGCUAACCCUUUGAAAUGAUAUUCAAUCAUAUUUGAGUAACAGUAGAUAUGAAUUAAAUGUAAAUUGAGCUGGGAAGCUGCUCUCACGUCCACGGGGUGACAGUUGAAACUCAAAUAUUAGUUCUUCACUAUCAACAAGAGCUUUCUUUAUUAAUAGCUUUUCUAUAUUAAUAAGUAUUGUGCAUUUUAGGAAGUGUUUCUGUCCUCCGUCCGGAUGUUAUGUGUUCGUCAACGGAGCGAAUCCAACACGAGUCUUCAUCAGCAGAACGCCGCUACGCGCUGGAACCCAAGAUAAAUCCAUCAGGUCCAGCUUUCCACCUCCAACUGGUGCAGAUUGAUGGUCCUGCACACACACACACACACACACACACCAGCUACACACAUGCAGCUACACACAUGCAGCUACACAGUUAAUCAUGUGUGUGAAGGUCCAGCGGGGAGGCAGCAAAAAUCUGGAAUACCAGUUGGAUUCUGUCUGCCGUGUGUGUGCGUGUGUGUGCACCAGUGUGUGCGUGUGUGUGUGCUUUUUGAAAGCUGUUGACAGGUGACUGACAGCUGAGGAAGAUGGAUGGGGUGCAGAGGCUGGACAGUGGGGGGUCGGGAGCAGCGUGUUGACUGUGUGUGUUUGUGUGUGUGUUUGCUGCCUGGUGGGCGAGCGGAGAUGAGCUGACCGUGUGUCGCUCCAGAACAAACCGGAUCUGCUUGAAGAAG